UUCCGGUUGAUCCUGCCGGAGGCUACUGCUAUCGGGGUUCGAUUAAGCCAUGCGAGUUAAAUGUUCUUCGUGAACAUAGCGAACUGCUCAGUAACACGUGGAUAACCUACCCUUAGGACCGGAAUAACCCCGGGAAACUGGGGAUAAUACCGGAUAAGCCAUAGACGCUGGAAUGCCCUAUGGUUCAAAGCUCCGGCGCCUAAGGAUGGAUCUGCGGUCUAUCAGGUUGUAGUGGGUGUAACGUACCUACUAGCCGACGACGGAUACGGGUUGUGAGAGCAAGAGCCCGGAGAUGGAUUCUGAGACACGAAUCCAGGCCCUACGGGGUGCAGCAGGCGCGAACACUUUACAAUGCGGGAAACCGCGAUAAGGGAACCCCGAGUGCCAGCAUCAAAUGUUGGCUGUCCGGAUGAUUAAAAAUCAUUUGUUAGCAAGGGCCGGGCAAGACCGGUGCCAGCCGCCGCGGUAACACCGGCGGCCCGAGUGGUAGCCGUUUUUAUUGGGUCUAAAGGGUCCGUAGCCGGCCUGAUAAGUCUUUUGGGAAAUCUGGCAGCUUAACUGUCAGGCUUCUAAGGGAUACUGUCAGGCUUGGGACCGGAAGAGGUAAGGGGUACUCCAGGGGUAGGAGUGAAAUCUUGUAAUCCCUGGGGGACCAUCUGUGGCGAAGGCGCCUUACCAGAACGGGUCCGACGGUGAGGGACGAAAGCUAGGGGAGCAAACCGGAUUAGAUACCCGGGUAGUCCUAGCUGUAAACGAUGCUCGCUAGGUGUCAGACACGGUGCGACCGUGUUUGGUGCCGCAGGGAAGCCGUUAAGCGAGCCACCUGGGAAGUACGGUCGCAAGGCUGAAACUUAAAGGAAUUGGCGGGGGAGCACUACAACGGGUGGAGCCUGCGGGUUUAAUUGGAUUCAACGCCGGAAAUCGUCGA
RNAcentral lists this ribosomal RNA (928 nucleotides) under archaeon enrichment culture clone AOM-SR-A32. Its description in RNAcentral is "bacterial SSU rRNA". It matches the Rfam family "Archaeal small subunit ribosomal RNA", at positions 1 to 931 of the family's 1478-position model. The record is from RNAcentral.